CCUACGGGCGGCAGCAGUGGGGAAUAUUGGACAAUGGGGGCAACCCUGAUCCAGCCAUGCCGCGUGUGUGAAGAAGGCCCUCGGGUUGUAAAGCACUUUCAGUGAGGAAGAACGCCUGGUGGUUAAUACCCAUCAGGAAAGACAUCACUCACAGAAGAAGCACCGGCUAACUCCGUGCCAGCAGCCGCGGUAAUACGGAGGGUGCGAGCGUUAAUCGGAAUUACUGGGCGUAAAGCGCGCGUAGGUGGCUUGAUAAGCCGGUUGUGAAAGCCCCGGGCUCAACCUGGGAACGGCAUCCGGAACUGUCAAGCUAGAGUGCAGGAGAGGAAGGUAGAAUUCCCGGUGUAGCGGUGAAAUGCGUAGAGAUCGGGAGGAAUACCAGUGGCGAAGGCGGCCUUCUGGACUGACACUGUCACUGAGGUGCGAAAGCGUGGGUAGCAAACAGGAUUAGAUACCCGGGUAGUC
Molecule: ribosomal RNA, 465 nt
Filed under: Vreelandella stevensii
Lineage: Bacteria; Pseudomonadati; Pseudomonadota; Gammaproteobacteria; Oceanospirillales; Halomonadaceae
Description: partial 16S ribosomal RNA
Rfam family: Bacterial small subunit ribosomal RNA
Source: RNAcentral